ACUCCUACGGGAGGCAGCAGUGGGGAAUAUUGCACAAUGGGCGCAAGCCUGAUGCAGCAACGCCGCGUGCGGGAUGACGGCCUUCGGGUUGUAAACCGCUUUCAGCAGGGACGAAGCUUUUUGUGACGGUACCUGCAGAAGAAGCACCGGCUAACUACGUGCCAGCAGCCGCGGUGAUACGUAGGGUGCGAGCGUUGUCCGGAUUUAUUGGGCGUAAAGGGCUCGUAGGCGGUUGAUCGCGUCGGAAGUGGAAACUUGAUGCUUAACGUUGAGCGUGCUUUCGAUACGGGUUGACUUGAGGAAGGUAGGGGAGAAUGGAAUUCCUGGUGGAGCGGUGGAAUGCGCAGAUAUCAGGAGGAACACCAGUGGCGAAGGCGGUUCUCUGGACCUUUCCUGACGCUGAGGAGCGAAAGCGUGGGGAGCGAACAGGCUUAGAUACCCUGGUAGCUACGAG
This 454-nucleotide ribosomal RNA is filed under the name uncultured bacterium. RNAcentral describes it as "bacterial SSU rRNA". It matches the Rfam family "Bacterial small subunit ribosomal RNA", at positions 335 to 801 of the family's 1533-position model. The record is from RNAcentral.